Long non-coding RNA from Cyprinodon variegatus (sheepshead minnow), 1160 nucleotides. RefSeq lists it as uncharacterized. Lineage: Eukaryota; Metazoa; Chordata; Actinopteri; Cyprinodontiformes; Cyprinodontidae. The record is from RefSeq and is a predicted model, not a curated record. The transcript is spliced from 4 exons.
AGAUGAGAAAGAAAAAGGGGACGUCCUCACCUAUAGUGACAUCAACCUAUCAAGUCAGCCAGAGAGGACUGAGUCAAACACAGAGAGCGAUCCAGCUGUUAUCUACUCAACAGUGAGAAGAAAAGACACCAGUUAUGGAGAAAUAACCAUUAGCCACAUGGAUGACAAGACAAACCUCAGAGAGGAGGAUCCAGCUGUCAUUUAUUCAGACGUGAGAACAGAAGACAUCAGUUAUGGACAGAUAGUCAUCAGAAAAAACAGGAACAGAGAGCCUCAACCAGAGCCAGACAGCAUCUACUCCUCACUGAGAAAAUCUAAGCAAUAACACCAGCUGCCAUCGAUGUCGUCACUCACAGACUAAUGACUAAUAGGUGCAGUAGUAUUUAUGGGGUUGCUUAUAAAGUCACAGCAGCAAUGAUGCUUCUCUGCAGUCCACCACCUUCACCUGACGUGAUGCAUCAUGUGGCUUUCACAAUACUUCCAGCGCUAUUUGUUCAUGUUGUGGUUAAAACAAACCUCACUUCAGAGCUGCAAAGAGAGAGAAAAAACCCACAGAGGAAGCAGCAGUAGGCUGCAGAGUGAAAAAAGUGUGAACCUUGCUUGUUUUUUCUUUGUGUUUGAUGACUUGUUGGUUCAUUUUUUUUACUUUUAAACACACAUAUGAGUCUAACAUGGUUAAUUGUGUCCAUGGACCCACAAACAGGAUUAAAGACAAGCAGCAGACAUGAAAUGUACUUAAGAUUAAUGCAAACAAAUAAACAUCAACUCGUUUGAUUGGUUCUUGGAGGUUAUUUAUUAGUUUCAGACUUUAUUAGUUUCAGAGGAACACAUCAAAUGGUAUGUGGGUGACCAAACAUUUUCAGUUCCUCUUUGAAUCCUCUUCAGGUUUGUUUAAAUAGGUCAUUCACAUAGUUUAUGAUUUCCUACAGCAGCGGCUCACUAUGAUUUCAUUCAAAGACUUUAAAAUUAAGUUAUGGCAACCUGUUUGCUGAUUAUAUCAAAUAAACUUCAGUGCUUUGUAUAGUUAUCAAAACAAGAGAAAUUGUUUUAUAUUUGGGUUAUUUAUUUUUCAUUCAUUGACACAUUUAGUCACCUGGUGUCUGGGAUUGUGUCGAGGAAGCUUGUUUGAGAUGUAAAACAGUGAGUUUUUAAUAUAAAUA